Camellia sinensis is the source of this 916-nucleotide RNA transcript. RefSeq lists it as uncharacterized. Lineage: Eukaryota; Viridiplantae; Streptophyta; Magnoliopsida; Ericales; Theaceae. The record is from RefSeq and is a predicted model, not a curated record.
GUCACGGCCAUACGCUAGUCAAUCUAUACAGGGAAGAGCAAAGAACAUGAUUCAAAGGGGGAAAAUGAGAAGAGAGGGAGAAGAUAGAGGGUUCGAAGGGGAAGGGAAGGGUUUCAAUGUCUCUCUUUGGACACUUCGACGGUAUGGCAAGACUGGUUCCGUGAUAAUAACGAUCAACGGGGUUCUCACGAGCAGCAAGCUCAGCCAAGUCCACAAGAGAUUCCUACAAAUUCAUGGUAUCCUUCAUUUGUAGUUAGCUCUCCAAGUUCUUCCCGCCCAACAACUCCUAGUAGCACAUCUUCUAGUAGCUUCAGUGUACAAAGGCAUGUAGAUCGGCCAGAGUCACAAUCUCAUGUUUCGCCUGCAGUGGCUGUUGGCAUUAUUGUUCUGUUAAAGGAUAAGAAAUUUCAGUGGGUUCUCAUUUAUACCCUAAGAAUCCAGUCCUCCACCUUGGAAGUCAGCUCAACUUCAGUGUAGAAGGAUUAAAUGAUCAAGUGUUUGGCCGUUGGUUGAGUGCCAAUGAAAGUGUUAUAUAUGUGGACAUGAUAUCUGGAAGGUACUACUCGAGGUAUUGAGCAGAAUAUUUUUCCCUUUGCUGUUCUAGAUGUUAACAAACGUUCCUAUCCCAGCAAAAGGAUAUAGCUUCCCUGUGAGGUUCAGUGAUGAUCAUUACUACAAGUCUAAAGCUCCUCGGAACAAUGUGCAAGUCCUGUAUGACUGUAGAGUGGACCUACCUUUUGUCGGGAUUGUAGAUAUGCAAAGCCACAGAAGGAUCUCUCUGGAAAUUCAUAUUGCCUCUUCUUUCCUUCCUCUCCGGAGCAUUAAAUACAUUCUAUUUCUAAGUCAAAAGACAUGAGAUUUGAGAUUUGAUAUGGACAUGUUUGGUAAUUUGGAGAGUAAAAGCUAGCUCGUUUUG